GUGAAGGUGGUCAGGGCAGAGGGCUGCGGUUCCCCUGUACCUUGAUUGGAAUCCUCCAGAAAGCACACAGACCUGCAUCUCUCCUAACCUGCCCAUGGGGACCUCUGCCUUUGCAUGGAGUCUUUCUAAGUCUUUUCCCCAUGGGUUUGGGGAAAGCCCCCUCUCAGGAAGGCUGGAUUUCCAGCUCCACCGCAGGAUGUGGGGUUCCCAUCAAUGGGCCUGGCUGGUGAGGUGGCUGAAGCCACGGGGAAACAGGGCAGGCUGGGUCCUGACCUCAGCCCCUGGAGGCUGGACGCCCACCUCGCCUAAUAUGCCACUGCAAGGCUGUGUCCUCUUCCUCUCUGCAAAACUGAGCUUCCCAUGCCUGAAGGUCCCACAGCACCAAGGCCAGGGCUGGCUGGGGACACCACUCCAUAGGAAAAGUACUGGAGAUCCACCUCCUGAUGGUCCACGAGGGGCCUGGCCUUGUCCUCCUGGUCACCACCAUACCCUAGCACAGCACACAGUCUACCCUGGGCCCUCAAUCGACAUCCUGUGAAAGAAGGAAGGGAGGCAGGGAGUGGCAGGAGCACAUGUGACCAAGGCUACAACUGUCUGUGUCCGUGCUGUCCCCUGCCUAGACUGGGCAGGGCACUGCUGAAGCCAGGUACAGAUCCCCUGGCUUGAGGGAGUAGCAACAGAUCGGCA
Molecule: long non-coding RNA, 687 nt
Filed under: Heterocephalus glaber (naked mole-rat)
Lineage: Eukaryota; Metazoa; Chordata; Mammalia; Rodentia; Bathyergidae
Description: lncRNA (ENSHGLG00100026926.2)
Source: RNAcentral